Long non-coding RNA from Priapulus caudatus, 296 nucleotides. RefSeq lists it as uncharacterized. The record is from RefSeq and is a predicted model, not a curated record. The transcript is spliced from 3 exons. NCBI's taxonomy places the organism in Eukaryota, Metazoa, Priapulida, Priapulimorpha, Priapulimorphida, Priapulidae.
GAAUCCUACGAGCAAAGAAAGGUGCCGCAGCGGAGGAGUACAAUGCCUACUUCUACUCGCUCGUGUCUCAGGACACGCAGGAGAUGCAUUUCAGCCAGAAGAGACAGCGGUUUCUCGUCAACCAGGGGUACAGCUACAAGGUGAUCACCAAGCUGGCGGGGAUGGAUGAGGAGGACCUCGCGUUUGCGACGAAGGAGGAGCAGACUCAGAUGCUGCAGAAGGUGCUGGCUGCUUCGGAGACGGACGCCGAGGAGGAGCGCAUGAUGGGAGAAGGCAGAGACUUCAGUGGCAGUAGG